RNAcentral lists this ribosomal RNA (118 nucleotides) under Saimiri boliviensis boliviensis (Bolivian squirrel monkey). The record is from RNAcentral. Lineage: Eukaryota; Metazoa; Chordata; Mammalia; Primates; Cebidae.
GUCUACGGCCAUCCCACCCUGAAGGCACCUGAUCUUGUCUGAUCUCAGAAGCUAAGCAGGGUCGGGCCUGGUUAGUAUUGGAUGGGAGACCGACUGGGACUACAGGGUGCUGUAGGCU